This 618-nucleotide long non-coding RNA is filed under the name Rattus norvegicus (Norway rat). RNAcentral describes it as "long non-coding RNA NONRATT010490". Lineage: Eukaryota; Metazoa; Chordata; Mammalia; Rodentia; Muridae. The record is from RNAcentral.
UCAGUCUAGAGAGGCGCUUCGCUGGAGUGGUGGCGCAGCGCUCUCCUCGGGUAAACAUCCACCGUGAAGAAGAAAGAACGUCAGGAGCUAAGGUUUAGUUUAAACCUGUAGUUGCUGUUUGGAAAAUGAAGAUGCAGACCGCAGAUUGGUGGCUUAUAUGUUCUUCAUGCAAGGGCAGCAUGCUAAAGGAGAGAAGUAACUGCGCUGACCAGUGACUGAAAGCUGCGAGCAUUGGGACAGAUUGGCUGAAGACAAGGAAUUUCUAAGAGUCAGAAAGUCAAGACGGAAUUGUGCUAAGUCUUUCUCUGGCACAUGUGAGUAGGAGGAGGCAUCCUUUAUUAAAUGGAAGAUAAAGGCUACUUCAUCUAAAGUGUUUUGAACUUGAGAAAAGAGCUGUUUUCAGCACCUCACCAUGGGUCUGCUUAUUGUUGCUUAAACAAGCUGGGAGUUUCAUUAGCCCGGGGUAACAGAUACUGGUUUUGUUACUUGAAAGAAUUUUUGGUUGGAUUCAAAUGUGGCAGAAAUUCUGGAAAAAGACUGGAAAUAGCAUUCCAUAUUGGAAGAAGAGAUUUUUAUAGAUGAAAAAAAUGCCUUUGUUUAGCAAAUCACACAAAAAUC